UAGCAUGGCCCCUGCGCAAGGAUGACAC
RNAcentral lists this non-coding RNA (28 nucleotides) under Drosophila melanogaster (fruit fly). Lineage: Eukaryota; Metazoa; Arthropoda; Insecta; Diptera; Drosophilidae. RNAcentral also lists the same sequence under 3 other names. The record is from RNAcentral.